RNAcentral lists this ribosomal RNA (491 nucleotides) under uncultured bacterium. RNAcentral's name for it is "partial 16S ribosomal RNA". It matches the Rfam family "Bacterial small subunit ribosomal RNA", at positions 29 to 507 of the family's 1533-position model. The record is from RNAcentral.
GUGCACGCUGGCGGUAGGCCUCACCCCUGCCAAUCGAACGGCAGCACAGUAAGAGCUUGCUCUUACGGGUGGCGAGUGGCGGACGGGUGAGGAAUACAUCGGAAUCUACUUUUUCGUGGGGGAUAACGUAGGGAAACUUACGCUAAUACCGCAUACGACCUACGGGUGAAAGCAGGGGAUCUUCGGACCUUGCGCGAUUGAAUGAGCCGAUGUCGGAUUAGCUAGUUGGCGGGGUAAAGGCCCACCAAGGCGACGAUCCGUAGCUGGUCUGAGAGGAUGAUCAGCCACACUGGAACUGAGACACGGUCCAGACUCCUACGGGAGGCAGCAGUGGGGAAUAUUGGACAAUGGGCGCAAGCCUGAUCCAGCCAUACCGCGUGGGUGAAGAAGGCCUUCGGGUUGUAAAGCCCUUUUGUUGGGAAAGAAAAGCAGCAGGUUAAUACCCCGCUGUUCUGACGGUACCCAAAGAAUAAGCACCGGCUAACUUCGUG